GAUGAACGCUGGCGGCGUGCCUAAUACAUGCAAGUAGAACGCUGAAGGAGGAGCUUGCUCUUCUGGAUGAGUUGCGAACGGGUGAGUAACGCGUAGGUAACCUGCCUGGUAGCGGGGGAUAACUAUUGGAAACGAUAGCUAAUACCGCAUGACAACAGUUAUUGCAUGAUAACUGUUUAAAAGGGGCAACUGCUCCACUACCAGAUGGACCUGCGUUGUAUUAGCUAGUUGGUGAGGUAACGGCUCACCAAGGCGACGAUACAUAGCCGACCUGAUAGGGUGAUCGGCCACACUGGGACUGAGACACGGCCCAGACUCCUACGGGAGGCAGCAGUAGGGAAUCUUCGGCAAUGGACGGAAGUCUGACCGAGCAACGCCGCGUGAGUGAAGAAGGUUUUCGGAUCGUAAAGCUCUGUUGUAAGAGAAGAACGAGUGUGAGAGUGGAAAGUUCACACUGUGACGGUAUCUUACCAGAAAGGGACGGCUAACUACGUG
This 495-nucleotide ribosomal RNA is filed under the name uncultured bacterium. RNAcentral's name for it is "partial 16S ribosomal RNA". It matches the Rfam family "Bacterial small subunit ribosomal RNA", at positions 28 to 507 of the family's 1533-position model. The record is from RNAcentral.